Long non-coding RNA from Mirounga angustirostris (Northern elephant seal), 422 nucleotides. RefSeq lists it as uncharacterized. The record is from RefSeq and is a predicted model, not a curated record. The transcript has 3 exons. NCBI's taxonomy places the organism in Eukaryota, Metazoa, Chordata, Mammalia, Carnivora, Phocidae.
GGUUAGCAAAGAUUUCAAAAAAAAAGAAAAACUGGUGAAGAUAGAUACCAAUGUUGGCAAGAAUAAGGGGAAAGGAACAGUCUCAUGCUCAGUUGCAGAAAUAAGAAAAGUGAGGCAUAAAGCGGGUUAGAAACUUGCCCUAGUCCCUUAACUCAGAAGUGGAAGAGCUGAGAUUCACAUCCAGAGGAUGGUCUACCCUUCAGUUUUACACCACUGAGCCUGAAGUUCACAGAAGGAAUGAACAAAAAGCUCUGUUCUCUACUCCUGAUUUGAACCAGACACAACUUACUUCAACACUGCAUGCUGUCCUUCAGUUAAUUACCCUCCUGAAUUCUAUCAGAUGUCCCCCUGUCUGCAAGCUACAGACAGUCUGCAAGGGUAGAAAGGUAUGGUGAAAUUUGCUCUUGGUAACUUGCUUUUUG